Molecule: long non-coding RNA, 267 nt
Organism: Drosophila serrata
Lineage: Eukaryota; Metazoa; Arthropoda; Insecta; Diptera; Drosophilidae
Source: RefSeq, a predicted model, not a curated record
CGGAGCAGCGGUUCCGAAAUUAGAUUGAGAUGAUGAAAAAUAUUAUUUAACGAAAAAAAGAAUCGAUAAUCUCGUUGUUGAAAUCGAUUUUUUCACAGCUCUAAUAACAGCUGAAGUAUUCACAAGUGUUUUGCAAUAAUUGCUUUUGAACCUGGACGGUGUGAACGGAAGGCCAUUAUAUAUCCAGUAUUUGUUUUCUUCUUAAUUGAUUGACGAGGCAACAGCCGGAAGGAAAGACCCGUAACAUACGUUUAGGGAAAAUGCAAG